UCGUAUGCUUGCUGUGGGCAGAUGAGGUGAAUGUGCGUGUCAAAACCACCCGCCGUGAUAAUCUUGUGUUCGCCGGCUAUGACAUCGGUGCAGGCGCCAACAACCAAGUUGGGGUCCACGCCGUCCAUGACAUCGGGAUUGCCUGCUUUGCCAAUGCCAAUAAUCAUGCCGUCCUUGAUUCCAAUAUCAGCCUUGUAGAUUCCAGACCAGUCGACAAUCAGAGCAUUUGUAAUGACGGUAUCCAACGACUCCUUGUCUGAUCGGCCUCCAGCCUGGCCCAUGCCCUCUCGC
RNAcentral lists this small RNA (291 nucleotides) under Exserohilum turcica Et28A. RNAcentral describes it as "Setosphaeria turcica Et28A 5' ureB small RNA". It matches the Rfam family "5' ureB small RNA". The record is from Rfam by way of RNAcentral. Lineage: Eukaryota; Fungi; Ascomycota; Dothideomycetes; Pleosporales; Pleosporaceae.